GACGAACGCUGGCGGCGUGCUUAACACAUGCAAGUCGAACGGAAAGGCCCUGCUUUUGUGGGGUGCUCGAGUGGCGAACGGGUGAGUAACACGUGAGUAACCUGCCCUUGACUUUGGGAUAACUUCAGGAAACUGGGGCUAAUACCGGAUAGGAGCUCCUGCUGCAUGGUGGGGGUUGGAAAGUUUCGGCGGUUGGGGAUGGACUCGCGGCUUAUCGGCUUGUUGGUGGGGUAGUGGCUUACCAAGGCUUUGACGGGUAGCCGGCCUGAGAGGGUGACCGGCCACAUUGGGACUGAGAGACGGCCCAGACUCCUACGGGAGGCAGCAGUGGGGAAUAUUGCACAAUGGGCGGAAGCCUGAUGCAGCAACGCCGCGUGCGGGAUGACGGCCUUCGGGUUGUAAACCGCUUUCGCCUGUGACGAAGCGUGAGUGACGGUAAUGGGUAAAGAAGCACCGGCUAACUACGUG
This 468-nucleotide ribosomal RNA is filed under the name uncultured bacterium. RNAcentral describes it as "partial 16S ribosomal RNA". It matches the Rfam family "Bacterial small subunit ribosomal RNA", at positions 28 to 507 of the family's 1533-position model. The record is from RNAcentral.